GUGCUCACUUCGGCAGCACAUAUACUAAAAUACAAUACAGAGAAGAUUAGCACAGCCCCUGUGCAAGGAUGACACACAAAUUCAUGAACAUAAGAUGGAAACAAUGUCU
Small nuclear RNA from Suncus etruscus (white-toothed pygmy shrew), 109 nucleotides. The record is from RefSeq and is a predicted model, not a curated record. Lineage: Eukaryota; Metazoa; Chordata; Mammalia; Eulipotyphla; Soricidae.